This 253-nucleotide ribosomal RNA is filed under the name uncultured prokaryote. RNAcentral describes it as "partial 16S ribosomal RNA". It matches the Rfam family "Bacterial small subunit ribosomal RNA", at positions 523 to 775 of the family's 1533-position model. The record is from RNAcentral.
AUACGUAGGGUGCGAGCGUUGUCCGGAAUUAUUGGGCGUAAAGAGCUUGUAGGCGGUUUGUCGCGUCUGCUGUGAAAAUCCGGGGCUCAACCCCGGACUUGCAGUGGGUACGGGCAGGCUAGAGUGUGGUAGGGGAGACUGGAAUUCCUGGUGUAGCGGUGGAAUGCGCAGAUAUCAGGAGGAACACCGAUGGCGAAGGCAGGUCUCUGGGCCACUACUGACGCUGAGAAGCGAAAGCAUGGGGAGCAAACAG